GGAGAGGUGUCCGAGCUGGCCGAAGGAGCUCGCCUGCUAAGCGAGUGUGCGCCUUAAAAGUGCACCGAGGGUUCGAAUCCCUCCCUCUCCGCCA
Molecule: transfer RNA, 94 nt
Filed under: Pseudomonadota bacterium
Lineage: Bacteria; Pseudomonadati; Pseudomonadota
Description: Proteobacteria bacterium (cold seep metagenome) tRNA-Ser
Rfam family: tRNA
About the family: Transfer RNA (tRNA) molecules are approximately 80 nucleotides in length. Their secondary structure includes four short double-helical elements and three loops (D, anti-codon, and T loops).
Source: RNAcentral